CAGGCCCACAUACCCGUACGCAUCUGCCUCCUCAACUCGAACCCUCGCCUUUGCCCUUGCCGAGCCCUCGCCGCCGCCACACCUCAGCCCCCUCGCCGCCACGGCAGCACCUCAGCCCGCUCGCCGCCGCGUUCGCGUGUCAGCCCGCUGGACAUCCCCGCCUCCACGGUCACACCUCUCCCCGCUCGCCGCCCCCGUCGCAACCCAACCCCUCCAAUGGAUGCCGCCCGAACUACAUCAUCCAAUAGGACGCCGGCCGCGGCGUCACGAAGUUGCUGGCGUCGCCCAGUUCGCCGUGGGUGAAGGCGCCUCAGACGCAAGCAAAGCUGCAGCUUCCUCAAUGUAUGCCUCAUCAUGGGGCUCGCUGUGCUGCUGGCGGACAGCCGCGGCCCCGCUAGUGUGGUGCGAGACUUCCAGAUCACCCGGCGGCUGGGGUUGGAGGAUGGCAUUCCCACGACUCCUCAUCGGGGGAUUUGUGUUUGUUCGGAUGCUUAGGUGCAGCUGCAUAAGGGGAAUUGGCCGACGGUGUGCAAUACAUAGACAAGCAAAAGUCAGUAUGGAGCAAAUGCGAGUUCGGUUGCUCUUCUGACAAUUUCACCUUGAUUUUGUUGUUAGUGACUGAUUGAGGCGUCACUCCCACCACGGUGGUGACGGCAACCUUCCACCUCCAGCCGCUGUGGCCGUAGCGUACCGCUCCAAUGCCAUCUGACACAACCGUCUUGUGGUGGAGGAGGGCCACCUCAAACACAUUGGGAAGCGGUGAGCGCGGGCUUCACCACAUGUUCUGCCGAGUCAUCGAUGUCAGUUUCUAGGUUUGUGAGUGCACUGUCUGGUGCUUCUUUUUACGAUGUCUAUCAACACAAGCACAGCGUGUUCCAAGUAUGAACGGAGAGAGUGCUCCCAUUGGGUUCUACAUGUGGACAUUGUGGCCGGUGAGGCAUAACUGGAAGUUUCUCUGAUGGUCGACAACAAGGUACCCCACUGCUCUGAAUUUUUACAUGGUUAAUGUGAGUUGAAUCAUCAAAGGUCUGCACGUUGGUAAUGGUUGAAAAAUUCAUUGCAUUUGAGAAAAAUGAACAGUCUAUCAGUUCUCUAAUAAUACAUAUUAUAGAAUGUACCUUUCUGUCCGAUCAUAGGAUCACUGCACAAUAGGCUUUGGAGCAGGCUCUGAUUCACGGAGAACUCCCCAGCAACCUCAUCUUUUGUGGAUAUUAGAUGGAUAUUGAAUCCAGUAAGCCUCCAAUUGAUAAACGAAGUCAAUUUUCUGUUGGUAGUUUGCAUGACAGGGUUCUAGCUAAUUUAUGAUUGUGCCUACAACAGACUACCUUUGCCUGAAGAUUUGAGGUGUGACUCAAAUUUCGUGCUGUUAGAAAUCAACAAUGGAGAUUUCAGUUUUUUUCAUGUAUAUUCGUACGGAUUUCAAGUUUAAUGGAUCAUUAAAUUUUAUUCUAUAAUCAGAUCUUGGUAUGUUUUCAGAUUUUUCAGAGAAGAAAGAAGUCUAGAGGCGUGGAUGUAUGUUUUUAGGGGGGAAUCAAGUCUGUAGAAUAUACACUAAUUUGAGGAAUUCAGAUGUUACCCUUGGUCAUACAGGGAAAGUGUGAAGCACUCUGGCCAAUUUUCCGCAUUUCUCAUCCAAGAAGCCGUUACAUUUAUGAUCUUUUCUAUAGAAGAAGGAAGGAUAUAUCUAAGGAGCUGUAUGAAUUUUGCCUGGACCAGGAUUAUGCAGACCGUAAUCUCAUUACAAACUGGAAAAAUGUUAGUUGCCUCAGCUUUAUAUCAUUUGAGCUAGGGGCCAAGACGGAUGAGGUUGAUUUGGCUUGAUCAUGCCAAAGAAAUUUACUUCUUUUUUUGGAAAAUGAAAGCAUGUUUUAGAAGUUCAGGGUUAAGUUACCAAAUCUGAGCUUUAUAGCAAAGCAGAGGAUCAAGAAAAGCAGAGUAGGAUAAUAAAGGUUCACAUAGAUGUAGUAAUAUGUCACUAUUAGCUAGCUCAAGUAUGUAUGACUGUAGGAGCUCAGGAAUACUCUUACUAUGUCUUUGAUUUUGUUAAAGACCCAAUA
Molecule: long non-coding RNA, 2057 nt
Organism: Triticum aestivum (bread wheat)
Lineage: Eukaryota; Viridiplantae; Streptophyta; Magnoliopsida; Poales; Poaceae
Exons: 3
Source: RefSeq, a predicted model, not a curated record